AAAGUACAACCUCCAGCCGGCGGAGGCACUGGAUUCAUCACAGAAGAAGACGAAGAACAAGAAAAAGAAAAACAAGAAGAAAACGCCAGCCCCUGUAGAAACCCCCCUGGAUGUUAGGCGCACGUUAACAUGCCAGAACACAGAGGCAG
Molecule: long non-coding RNA, 149 nt
Organism: Perognathus longimembris pacificus (Pacific pocket mouse)
Lineage: Eukaryota; Metazoa; Chordata; Mammalia; Rodentia; Heteromyidae
Exons: 3
Source: RefSeq, a predicted model, not a curated record